AUGUGAGGAGAGCAGCAAGAUGGCUCCGGAGCAGCGGAAAGUUGCUGCGGGAGCAGCGCAAUUUUUCCAAGAUCUAGCUGACAGCUUGCAGCAGUUGUCCCUUGGGGCCGAGGAGGCCUGCAACCUGCCCCUGCUUCCAGAUGAUGACGAGUGGCUAGCCACCCCGAGAGGGGAAUCACCGCAGACAUCAAGACCUGCAUCGCUGGUGAGAUUGUCCCCUCACCACAGAUCCUGGGGAUCCUGGGCGGAGAUCGCAACCAAGGAGUCGGAUGUUUUCUUCAGUUCUGCAACAAAUUCAAGAUAAAGUGCCUGGCAGGACUAUGCCACAAAGUUCUCCUGUUUGCAACGUAACCACCUUCAUAAGUUUGUGCCCGGCCCCUGGCCGAGAGACUCCUUGUCUUCUAGGCAGUGACCACUUUGUUGUUUAAGAAAAUGAAGGUUUUAAGAUUCCAGAAGAAAUUGCAUAAUAUGCCGAAAGAAAGCAGUUGACUAAGGUUAUGUCUGGAGAAGGUUUUGGCUCCUGGUGGAACUGCCCUUAAUCCAAACAAAAACUUUCUCUGAGCCAGAAACUUUUUUGAAAUGUGUCUUCCACAGCUCGGCGGUGUCAGGAAAACCAUCAGCAUUGAGUCUGUGAAACAUGUAUAUUGAUGCUUGGCUUCAGUAAAUGUCAAGUCAAGGCCAAAGGCUUCGGAUCCUGCGUAUUCUACUGAUAGUACGGUAUUGGUUGCAGGAAGAAACUAUAAAUAUAAAAAACAUGAAAUUAAUGAACAAAUA
Molecule: long non-coding RNA, 774 nt
Organism: Hyla sarda
Lineage: Eukaryota; Metazoa; Chordata; Amphibia; Anura; Hylidae
Exons: 3
Source: RefSeq, a predicted model, not a curated record